CGCAGGCAGGCAGGCAGACACACACAGGCACACAACUGUACAGUUCAGGCUACUGGAUACAUGUGUGUGUGUCUCAUACACAGACAAAUAUACAGCUCAAGCUAUGGCAUCUCUCACACACACGCUUUAAGAUGCAUUAUGAGGAUUUUCACUGGAAUUCAAAACGCAGAUACAUCUACCAGAGACACCUACCAGGGACAUCAGCAUCUACCAGAGGCACCUACCAGGAACAUCUACAUGUACCAGAGACAUCUACAUCUACCAGUGACCUCUACCUCUACCAGAGACACCUACCAGGAACAUCUACAUCUACCAGAGAUACCUACCAGGAACAUCUACAUCUACCAGAGAUACCUACCAGGAACAUCUACAUCUACCAGGGACAUCUACCAGAGACACCUACCUCUACCAGAGACACCUACCAGGGACAUCUACACCUACCAGUGACCUCUACCAGAGACACCUAUGUGAAUGUGCUCACUCAGUCAAAUGACAUUAAUUUUGUUUUUAACAGUGAACCACUCACUUGCUAAAGGCUUUACCAGAUAAAGGCUGUUCCAAUCACCUGUGGCUCCACCCGAAGUUAGGACAUGCAAGUGAAGCUAUGUUUCACAUCCUUGAGUCUAAAGAAGAUCCAAACACCUUUCUUCAGACGAGACCACUCUUCAGCCCCGUCAUCAUUGUCUGCGAAACCAAUUGCUUACUGGCUACUGGAACCAUGCCUGUGGUAACCUUCCCGAAAGAGGACAUCUAUGCUAGCGUGAUGUAUCUCGUGGCAUGUUAUUGUGCCUUUCACCUCACAUAUCCUAAUUAGCACUGUUUAGAUUGGUUAUCUUGCCAUAGAUCUUAAUUUUCGUUUAUUUCCCCACUGAUGGCCACUAUGUUGGUUAUGCUACAUUCUGAAUGUUAAUUUGUGGGUUUGUUUUAAUGUUUUCUGGCAUCUGAAACUACUGAGAGCCUAUAGAACCAGGCAAGAUAUUAUAAAACUGUACAGGUGAUGUACAAAGCCAUGGCCUUGUGUUGUUUUGUUGCAUUCUUUGUUUUACUCAUAUGCAGCUCCUGGAGUUCAUAAUAAAGAGGUGACAAAAAAUGCAUUGAAAUGUAUUUCUUUA
Long non-coding RNA from Hemibagrus wyckioides, 1112 nucleotides. RefSeq lists it as uncharacterized. The record is from RefSeq and is a predicted model, not a curated record. NCBI's taxonomy places the organism in Eukaryota, Metazoa, Chordata, Actinopteri, Siluriformes, Bagridae. The transcript is spliced from 3 exons.